AAGAUAGAGGUGCGAAUUCAAUGAGUAACAUGCAGGAGGCUGCCAAAGCUGUGGAUGGCAAGUGAAGGGGGAAUUCGCCGAAAGGUGCUGCUGAGGGCAGGCACACCUUGGUUGUGUUCGUGAAAAUCGGCACGACUGUCGUCACUUGGUUGUGAUGGAGCGCUAUCGG
Molecule: non-coding RNA, 169 nt
Filed under: human gut metagenome
Description: Lysine riboswitch
Rfam family: Lysine riboswitch aptamer
About the family: Riboswitches are metabolite binding domains within certain messenger RNAs that serve as precision sensors for their corresponding targets. Allosteric rearrangement of mRNA structure is mediated by ligand binding, and this results in modulation of gene expression.
Source: RNAcentral